Molecule: ribosomal RNA, 253 nt
Filed under: uncultured bacterium
Lineage: Bacteria
Description: partial 16S ribosomal RNA
Rfam family: Bacterial small subunit ribosomal RNA
Source: RNAcentral
GACAGAGGGGGCAAGCGUUGCUCGGAAUUACUGGGCGUAAAGGGCGCGUAGGCGGGAUGGCAAGUCGGUCGUGAAAUGCCUCGGCUCAACUGAGGAUCGUCGAUCGAUACUGCCGUUCUUGAGGAUUGCAGAGGAGACUGGAAUUCCCGGUGUAGCGGUGAAAUGUGUAGAGAUCGGGAGGAACACCGGUGGCGAAGGCGGGUCUCUGGGCCGAUACUGACGCUGAGGAGCGAAAGCGUGGGGAGCGAACAGG